GAUGAAGAUCGCAGCGAAAUGCGAUAAGUAAUGUGAAUUGCAGAAUUCAGUGAAUCAUCGAAUCUUUGAACGCACAUUGCGCCCGCCAGCAUUCUGGCGGGCAUGCCUGUUCGAGCGUCAUUUCAACCCUCGAGCCCCCCCGGGGGCCUCGGUGUUGGGGGACGGCACACCAGCCGCCCCCGAAAUGCAGUGGCGACCCCGCCGCAGCCUCCCCUGCGUAGUAGCACACACCUCGCACCGGAGCGCGGAGGCGGUCACGCCGUAAAACGCCCAACUUUCUUAGAGUUGACCUCGGAUCAGGUAGGAAUACCCGCUGAACUUAAGCAUAUCAAUAAGCGGAGGA
This 343-nucleotide unclassified non-coding RNA is filed under the name soil metagenome. Its description in RNAcentral is "partial contains 5.8S ribosomal RNA, internal transcribed spacer 2, and large subunit ribosomal RNA". The stretch from base 1 to 120 matches the Rfam family "5.8S ribosomal RNA", at positions 35 to 154 of the family's 154-position model. The record is from RNAcentral.